AUUGGCUGGCUCCGCCUGAGGGCUCCUGCCGGGCCGAGGCCCCCGCCCCCCUCCCCGGUGCAUCGCGGCGGCCUGAGGUGAGGGGGGGGCUCGGCCGGCGGCGGCGGGCAGGGGCGAGCGGGCCGCCCCCACCGCCACGGCCGGCGGUAUAACAAAUGAAGGCAUUUAAUUCUGAGAGCUGGAGGCGGCAAGACAGGAGUUUGUAACUACCUCUCAUUUCAGGACUCUAUUUACAGGUAAAGAAUUCUUUUGCAUAGUCUUUUGAAAAGGCGGCGAGUGUUAACUCGGUCUCAGCUCUU
RNAcentral lists this long non-coding RNA (299 nucleotides) under Apteryx rowi (Okarito brown kiwi). Its description in RNAcentral is "lncRNA (ENSARWG00000015188.1)". The record is from RNAcentral. Lineage: Eukaryota; Metazoa; Chordata; Aves; Apterygiformes; Apterygidae.